AGCGAACGCUGGCGGCAGGCCUAAUACAUGCAAGUCGAACGGCUCUUCGGAGCAGUGGCGGACGGGUGAGUAACGCGUGGGAACGUGCCCUUUGGUUCGGAACAACACAGGGAAACUUGUGCUAAUACCGAAUGUGCCCUUCGGGGGAAAGAUUAUCGCCAUUGGAGCGGCCCGCGUUGGAUUAGCUAGUUGGUGGGGUAAAGGCCCACCAAGGCGACGAUCCAUAGCUGGUCUGAGAGGAUGAUCAGCCACACUGGGACUGAGACACGGCCCAGACUCCUACGGGAGGCAGCAGUAGGGAAUCUUGCGCAAUGGGCGAAAGCCUGACGCAGCCAUGCCGCGUGAAUGAUGAAGGUCUUAGGAUUGUAAAAUUCUUUCACCGGGGAAGAUAAUGACGGUACCCGGAGAAGAAGCCCCGGCUAACUUCGUGCCAGCAGCCGCGGUAAUACGAAGGGGGCUAGCGUUGCUCGGAAUUACUGGGCGUAAAGGGCGCGUANGCGGACAGUUUAGUCAGAGGUGAAAGCCCAGGGCUCAACCUUGGAAUUGCCUUUGAUACUGGCUGUCUUGAGUUCGGGAGAGGUGAGUGGAAUGCCGAGUGUAGAGGUGAAAUUCGUAGAUAUUCGGCGGAACACCAGUGGCGAAGGCGACUCACUGG
Molecule: ribosomal RNA, 655 nt
Filed under: uncultured Alphaproteobacteria bacterium
Lineage: Bacteria; Pseudomonadati; Pseudomonadota; Alphaproteobacteria
Description: bacterial SSU rRNA
Rfam family: Bacterial small subunit ribosomal RNA
Source: RNAcentral